Molecule: long non-coding RNA, 1671 nt
Organism: Gavialis gangeticus (Gharial)
Lineage: Eukaryota; Metazoa; Chordata; Crocodylia; Gavialidae
Exons: 2
Source: RefSeq, a predicted model, not a curated record
AACCCCAGAUAAGACCAAGCACCUUAUAUUUGGGAGGGCAGAAUGAAAGGGUUUUUUUCCCAUAAUUAUGGCUGUAUAGAAAUAGAACUUAAUGUUCUGCCCGCUCACCCUUUAUCUCAUGCUUAACUAAAAGGUGAAACCCUAGCUGCUGCUGAAGACUGAUCUCCAUGGGUGAAUCUGUGAUUUUGCAAAGAGUUUGAACAGUGCAAAAGAGGGAAAGAGAGACCCAGGAGUAGCUGGUGCACACCCAAACUGCCAGAAGAACAGUUAGCUUGAUUAGUGAAACAUCAGCUGUUUGAUUAAUAAUGAUACCGCUCCUACUGCACUUGUGGAGCAGGAUUCAGUGUAUGGUGAAUCUGUUCUUGGUGGAAAAUCACCUUCUCUGCUUAAGACAUAUACCCCAAUUUUGGGGGCUGUGUUUUGGGGAAAAAGGCUUAUGUGGUGUGCAAACAAGUACUGGAUGUGGGUUUAGGUUAGAAGGCAAUUCCUAAGGAAGUGGGGAAUGGGGUUGGGGGCUCCAAAUGUCUACCAGUGUAGUGAGAACAUGAACCCUUCUUUCUUGACUUGCUAAUCAUUAGAUGAGAGGAAGAAGGCUUUCAGCAGUGCUGCUGGGACCAGCUAAAUAGGAUGCCCAGCUACUGGCAGUCCUCCAGUAGGUGAAAUGGAUGACCAUAGAAAGAAUAACCUGGAAUGCAUGGAUGAUUGCUAGAUAACUCGAGUGUGCUUUUUAAUAAAGCUGCAACCUUCUUAAGCUACCUUCUUAGUGUCUCAUCUCUUUUCCUGUAGCAUGUGGGACAAUUGCAAUGUAUCCAAUGGAAGAAUUUGGAAAAACAGGUCUGUUGCAUCAAUCAGCAAAAUUAGGAUUUAUUUUAAUAGUUUAUGUGAAAAUGAUCCAAAGCAGUAAGUUAAAAUCUUAAACUGAAACUAUGACCAAUAUUGUAUGCUUGUCUUUGUUUUUUUGGCAACUUGACUAUUUGAUGCAACUUGCUGAGAGGACACUUACCCAUAGGCCUAGGCCAGAUCUGAAAACUUGUCCUGAAAAAUCUGAAGGACAAAAUCUAGGGCAUUUUUUUUCCUUUCAGGAUAACUCUUAAAUUGCCCAUAUACCAAGAACAUGUAAAAGAAAAAGUUUCUAGGCAUCAUGACUACAGAGAGAAUCUUCCAGAUAUGAAGAGUGCAACCACUGUAAUAAAAUCCGCCUUUGUCUGUAGGUACCUGAAACAGUAACAUAGAUAUGAACUCCCUGUUUUCCUUUUAAUCGGAUUGGAGCUCAGUUCUGAAGCAGUGACACUUGCCACUUAAAAACUUAAAGAUCCUUUUCACAGAUGGAGGUGAGGUUAGAAGAAAAGCACAUAGGUUAGGAAGUGGCAAUUGCUGAAGUGGGAAAUGGAGAGAGAGAGGUACAAGAGAUUCAGAAAUGCUGGAAGGAAAAAAGAAUCGUAUUCUCUUGAUCUAGGUGCCACUUCCCAACAAGCUCAGGGUGGUUUACAGUAAGACGACACAAUAAGGCUGCCACCUGAAGAUUCAGGCUCUUUGCAGAGAUGGGAAUUGCGUGAAAGAGAAGAAUGUUGGAGUGAUGUUGUAGCUAUGAUGGUCCAGGAAAAAUGCCAGGAGGCAAGGAUUAUUACAAGGGAUGCAUUUUAUUAGACCAUUGUAUGGGGGGAAGGGGCA